RNAcentral lists this ribosomal RNA (373 nucleotides) under Micromimetus sp. 1 AAN-2018. RNAcentral's name for it is "partial large subunit ribosomal RNA". The record is from RNAcentral. Lineage: Eukaryota; Metazoa; Arthropoda; Insecta; Hemiptera; Miridae.
AUGGUUGGAUGAAAAAUAAUCUUUCUUUAUUAUAUAUAAUGAAAUUAAUUUUUUAGUCAAAAAGCUAAAAUAAUAUUAUAGGACGAGAAGACCCUAUAGAGCUUUAUUUUCUUUUAUAUAUAAAUCUUAUAGUUAAUUAAAGAUUUAUAUAUUUAUGUUUAUUUUAUUGGGGUGAUUGAAAAAAUUUUUUAACUUUUUCUAUUUUUUUCAUUUAUAUAUGUUAUUUUGAUCCUUUAUUAUGGAUAAUAAGUCUAAGCUACCUUAGGGAUAACAGCGUUAUUUUUUUGGAAAGUUCAUAUUGAUAAAAAAGUUUGCGACCUCGAUGUUGGAUUAAAAUAAGUAAUAGGGGUAGAAUAUUAUUAACUAGGUCUGU